Molecule: ribosomal RNA, 746 nt
Filed under: uncultured Enterobacterales bacterium
Lineage: Bacteria; Pseudomonadati; Pseudomonadota; Gammaproteobacteria; Enterobacterales
Description: bacterial SSU rRNA
Rfam family: Bacterial small subunit ribosomal RNA
Source: RNAcentral
GGCCUAACACAUGCAAGUCGAACGGUAACAGGAAGCAGCUUGCUGCUUCGCUGACGAGUGGCGGACGGGUGAGUAAUGUCUGGGAAACUGCCUGAUGGAGGGGGAUAACUACUGGAAACGGUAGCUAAUACCGCAUAACGUCGCAAGACCAAAGAGGGGGACCUUCGGGCCUCUUGCCAUCGGAUGUGCCCAGAUGGGAUUAGCUAGUAGGUGGGGUAACGGCUCACCUAGGCGACGAUCCCUAGCUAGUCUGAGAGGAUGACCAGCCACACUGGAACUGAGACACGGUCCAGACUCCUACGGGAGGCAGCAGUGGGGAAUAUUGCACAAUGGGCGCAAGCCUGAUGCAGCCAUGCCGCGUGUAUGAAGAAGGCCUUCGGGUUGUAAAGUACUUUCAGCGGGGAGGAAGGCGACAGGGUUAAUAACCCUGUCGAUUGACGUUACCCGCAGAAGAAGCACCGGCUAACUCCGUGCCAGCAGCCGCGGUAAUACGGAGGGUGCAAGCGUUAAUCGGAAUUACUGGGCGUAAAGCGCACGCAGGCGGUCUGUCAAGUCGGAUGUGAAAUCCCCGGGCUCAACCUGGGAACUGCAUUCGAAACUGGCAGGCUAGAGUCUUGUAGAGGGGGGUAGAAUUCCAGGUGUAGCGGUGAAAUGCGUAGAGAUCUGGAGGAAUACCGGUGGCGAAGGCGGCCCCCUGGACAAAGACUGACGCUCAGGUGCGAAAGCGUGGGGAGCAAACAGGAUUA